CGAAAGCCUGACGGAGCAAGACCGCGUGGGGGAAGAAGGCUCUUGGGUUGUAAACCCCUUUUCUCUGGGAAGAAAGUUGUGAAAGCAACCUGACGGUACCAGAGGAAUCAGCAUCGGCUAACUCCGUGCCAGCAGCCGCGGUAAGACGGAGGAUGCAAGCGUUAUCCGGAAUGAUUGGGCGUAAAGCGUCCGCAGGUGGCAGUUCAAGUCUGCUGUCAAAGACCGGGGCUCAACCUCGGAAAGGCAGUGGAAACUGAACAGCUAGAGUAUGGUAGGGGCAAAGGGAAUUCCUGGUGUAGCGGUGAAAUGCGUAGAGAUCAGGAAGAACAUCGGUGGCGAAGGCGCUUUGCUGGACCAUAACUGACACUCAGGGACGAAAGCUAGGGGAGCG
This 391-nucleotide ribosomal RNA is filed under the name Oscillatoria sp. AECC1303. RNAcentral describes it as "bacterial SSU rRNA". It matches the Rfam family "Bacterial small subunit ribosomal RNA", at positions 376 to 770 of the family's 1533-position model. Lineage: Bacteria; Bacillati; Cyanobacteriota; Cyanophyceae; Oscillatoriales; Oscillatoriaceae. The record is from RNAcentral. RNAcentral also lists the same sequence under 1 other name.